RNAcentral lists this ribosomal RNA (253 nucleotides) under uncultured bacterium. Its description in RNAcentral is "partial 16S ribosomal RNA". It matches the Rfam family "Bacterial small subunit ribosomal RNA", at positions 524 to 776 of the family's 1533-position model. The record is from RNAcentral.
UACAGAGGGUGCAAGCGUUAAUCGGAAUUACUGGGCGUAAAGCGCGUGUAGGUGGAUAAGCAAGUUGGAUGUGAAAGCCCCGGGCUCAACCUGGGAAUGCCAUUCAAAACUGCUUGUCUAGAGUAUGGUAGAGGGAAGUGGAAUUUCAGGUGUAGCGGUGAAAUGCGUAGAUAUCUGAAGGAACACCAGUGGCGAAGGCGGCUUCCUGGACCAAUACUGACACUGAGACGCGAAAGCGUGGGUAGCGAACAGG